UAGGGGGGCAGAAGCGGGCACUGUCUGGAGGGAGCAGGGGCUUCUGAGAAGAGCCAUGACCCCCGGCCCCACCACCCAGAGGCACUGUCCUGGGGCAGGUCACUCCUAGGGUCCCGGGUCAGCAGGACCGUGAGGACAGGGGUGUGUAGCCGGCCCCGCAGUCGUUCACAGCGUCCUGGAGAAUUCCUGCUGGCUGUGGAGGGGCUCGAGGGGCGGCUGGCCCCAGGAUUCGGGAUGUGGGUGAGGAGUGGGGGCGAGAGAGGUGCUCCAGGGUGUGCUCCCCCUCAGCUCUGCGGGAGGACCUGGGAGCCCGUGGAGGGAGCUGGGGGGACGUCAUCUCUUAACUUCCCCACCCCUGGGAGCAGCGCCCUCAAACCGGGAGGAAGCCUGAGCACAGGCCGUGGAGGGGCUGCCACGAGACCUGCAGGUGCAGAGGGAGAGCGGGAGUCUGCUUCCCCAGCGCCGGGAGCGUGCACACGGGACUGCUUCUCCAGGCUCCCGCGCUGGUGAGGGAGCCGCGUCCCGCCAGACGUUCUCAUCCCAGCUCAGCCGCCAGACUCCGACCAGUAAUGAUUGUACUUUAUUCCCAAGAGAGGCCAAGCAAACGUAAGCCAAGGCUUUGCUUUGGCAAAGUCAGAAAAGAGCUCAUGGGAGCUCUUAUCUCAUGGGAAAGAGAAAUCUGAAAUCUUGAAACCCAUACAUAGGCCUAGUAUCUCCCACUGUUAUGGCAUUAAUAUAAGAAAGAACAACACAAGCCCUCACACAUAUUUCCUUCUUUCUUAUUUCAUGUCCCUCUUCAUCAGUCUCCAAAGAGGUGCGUGUAAUACGAGUGCUCCUGGGGACCCUGGCCUAUUGGACCCUGCCUGAGCGUCGGUCCCUACAUGGACAGCCUUCACCCUCACUGAGCUACAAAUGCUCUCCAGGAUACAUUCCUUAGCGACACAAACGCAGCUCUGGCAUGGGACCACUAGGGGCAGCGCGCUACAAAGAGAUCAGAAGCAGCUCCUUGCUUUGGAGGAGUGAGACCGCCUGAUGGUGACUAUGCCUUUGCAGAUUCUUCCUGGGCUCAGGCACACGUGCCAGGACCCUACGUGAGGCCCUGGGGAACACACCAGUGAGUGACUCCAGAUUACAUCCAUGUUCCCUGACGCCACCUGCCAGUACAGAGAUAAAACACUGAUCUGAGAAUCAGACCCAGUGCAUCCUGCCUGCACCAGCCUUCCGUUUUCGUGGUGGCUUUAGGAGACCAGAUGAGAACCCGUGGUGAGGUCAAAGGCCCCGAAAGCAAGAGGUAGGGGACAGCCGUGGAAAAGACAUGAGCUUUUCCUGAAGGGUGCGACUCUCAAGUUUAAUUUGGUUGGCUAGGGGGACUAUUGCUGCCCAGCAAAAAGUCCGCCCCCCCCAUCCCCCUGCCUCAACACCACCACCGCGAAAUUUACCACUGAUGCUGUCAUUUGUAAAUACCCUCUUGGAUCAGGUGUCAGCCAGUCAAAGACUUUCUCACUCAAUAGUCCCCUUCCCUCUACGCAGGUGGCGUCAGGGAAGAUGGGAUGUAGUCUGGAGGCACUCUACCACCAUGGAAAAGGUGCCUAUCACCCCUCAUGUACCCUGGCCAGCUUUCAUAUUUGAUUGAAAAGGAAAGAAACCAAGAAAGCAGCAUUUCUACCCCAGACGAAGAAAGGCGAGCUUACCUUGGCUCUGGACAGGGCUCCUUCCUCUGCUCUGUCACUGGGAAGAUCCUGUAAUAGGUCCUGCGGGGCGGGGUGGGGGUCCUAAGAAAACACACAAUGACUGUGGGGGCAUUGGUGGUGCCACUCAGAAACGACUUGGGGUGUGUGUGGCGAGGGCUUUGCUUGAUGCAUGGACCCUGGGGUGGCGGUGUGUGGAUGUGUGUGGUUAACAGGCAUGGACUGCUGGGGAGGGGGACGGCAAAGGAGAGAAGUGUGAAAGAGAAACGGAGUCCUUGGUUUGGCUUCGUCUCUCAAGGUGACCCAAACCUGAAAGAAACAAGAAAGCAGAGCCCUUGGUUUGGUUUUGUUGCUCAUGGUGACCUAAAGUAACACGAAUGUGUCAGUCUACGAGCGGUCCUGGCUUGCAGGCUGUGAUUCAGGGGCAUGGUCCCCAUCGCCCCUCCUGCCCAUUCUGAAGCUCACUUCGAUUGCCAUUGUCUUCCUGACCUCUUCCAAGACCAUUUCAGUCUCCACAAGGCAACGAUGCCGCGUUGAUGUUGGCCAUCUGUGGCAUGGGAUCUCACACACGAUGAGAAGACUUUUGGUGGAAGAGAUUUAGUUGCUGGCAGUGCAUUCUACCAUGCUUUGACAAUCCUCUGCUGUGGAGACGUGAGAACAUUGAGAUACUGCCGUUUCAAAAUAACGCCCUGUUAGCCAUGUGUUAUUUUUGCCUCCAGUCCUCUUUUUCUUUGUCACGUGUGUGUAUUCGUUGAGAGCGCUGGCUGUCCUCACCUGGGUACCAGCCUGGGGGUGGGCUAGUCCACUCCAGAGGGAGGGAGAUGGGGAGUGUGUGUGUGCGCGCACCAAUGCUUUUCAAUGCGGGCAGUGCAAGAGAGUAGCAAAGAGGGUGGGCACCAGGCACUUUGAGUUCUUAACCUGUCACCAUCCCCAGGGUGUGUAGCUCAAGGAUUUCAGGAUUUCUAGGGUUCCUGGUGAUAAUGCAGCCAACCCUCAGCUUUACCUGUCUGAGGCUGGCUCCUAAGGAGUCAUGACCCAGAAGCCGCAGAAGGCGACCCAGUCGUCCUUGAUCCUGCCUUCCGUGCUUAGCAUCUGUGAGCUGGCCAAAGAGCCCGUGGACUCUCUGCCUGCCCUUCAUGCUAACCACGCUGCCCAAGUCUCCGUAACAAGGACCCACCCAUCGGGACUGCUGGGGAGGCACCAUGGGCAGGAUUGCAACAUUGGCACGCUGGGACUGGAACCAAGAUUCCCCCUGUGUCUUAUGGCCCCGGGUUCUUCUCUUUAGGAGAACCUCUCCCCUGGCCUGCCCGUGACCUGAGUCGACUCGUGCUGCCUAACUGCAUGGCCGAAUGCCUCCUGGCUAGCCCACCCGCAGAUACGCGGUCCGCGGCUUCGAGACAGCUGUGGGGAGGGACCUGCUGGCCGUGGGGGAACCAGGGCACACUGCGGGCACUGGUCACGCUGAAUGGCUUCUAUGUUUUUGCCCAAAGCUUGUCCCGACCCAACUGGUGUGCAGCGAUCACCCCGGGAGACUUGAACCCCAGGCCCAGAUGGCCGCGGGGUGGAGCUCUGCGGGCUCCUACUUUGGGGGGUCGGUAUCGUGAGGACCUCUGCCGGCCUGCACAUGUGGGGAACCCCCUCUGGGCACUGGCAGCUGGCGCUCCCUGCCUGACCGCUUCCUUGGUGUAUGGGACCCCUGGGGCCACCCUUCUAGGGGUGACAGGGCUGGGGGCCUGGGCGCUUGAGGGUGCAAGCACCGAUGCUGGUGACUGAUGGUCCCAUUGAUGAGUGAUGGGUGUUCAGGGGGCCCAAGCCAUACCACCCACACCACAUGCCUGGCUCACAUGUGGCCUCUUCCACUCAAGCACUUGAGACUGGGGCACAUGCAUACCUGUCCCCCAGUUUCUCCGUCUGAGGAGUGGGGUUGUUGGGCAGACCUCCAGGUAUGGCCAUGGUGGGUGUCGAAUGAAUGAAUGUAUAUAAAGAGUGCGGUGGUGAUGGCCUCCUUCGCUUCCCUCUAUGCUACUUGAGAAAACUGGCAGGUUGCGCUGUGUAAGUUAGAUGUAUCUACUGGGGGAAGCACACACACACAACCUCUGCACACAUAUUCACAAUUAGCCCACUUAGACUUACACAUGGGCCACCCCCCACCCCACCGAAAAGGAAUGCAGCCACUGCCGGGGACUUACAGGACAUGGCCAUAGGUCUUUACCUGAAGUAUAAAUUUACGUCACCACACCCCCAAAUUCUCUCUCCCACCAGGAUGGUCCUCCAGGCCAAAAGCCAGCAAAAAAGCUCCGCCUUCCUCCUCCUCCUAGAUUUUUUUCCUUAGCAGUAGACUCAUUCCUGAAUAUGUAGAGUUUUCUUUGCUUUUGAGGCCACCCACAAGAGCAGAGAACAUACCCUCCUCCAUAUCUGUGGCACAAGGGAAUGUUCACUAUCUCUUGAGUUCUAAGUGAGGGCAGGAGUCAGGGAGGCCGGGCUCUUCCCUUGGAACGUCAGCAUCCUUGGAUUCACUGGGAGACUACCUCUCAGCUGGGGCUCCAGGUCCUUUCUCUUGGAAAUCAACUUUCGAGUUGGGUCUGAAGUUAUCCUUCUGAGAGUUCACAGAGCAAUGGCCCUCCCCAUAGGGGUUCUCCUGCAGUAAAUGGAUGCAGCGGAGGUAUCUCCACACUUACGCGGGUAUCUCAGCGAAGGCAGGCACCCAGGCCAUGUGCUUGCUGCUUCAAGGUGGCCAAGCCACGGUGGCUGCCUGCCUGGAGGGGUGUCCUGGGAUGUCCCGAACAGUACCAUUCUACUUUGUCUCUGAGUCUGACGGGAUACUUUAUAUAAGUGGGAUAGUACAGUAUAUGCCCUCUUAGGACUGGCUUCUUUCACUUAGCAUAAUGUCCUCAAGGUUUUUCCAUAUCGGUGAAAGUGAAAGUCGCUCAGACAUGUC
Molecule: non-coding RNA, 4626 nt
Organism: Odocoileus virginianus texanus
Lineage: Eukaryota; Metazoa; Chordata; Mammalia; Artiodactyla; Cervidae
Source: RefSeq, a predicted model, not a curated record